Molecule: microRNA precursor, 180 nt
Filed under: Dichanthelium oligosanthes
Lineage: Eukaryota; Viridiplantae; Streptophyta; Magnoliopsida; Poales; Poaceae
Description: MIR1435 microRNA precursor family
Rfam family: MIR1435 microRNA precursor family
Source: Rfam by way of RNAcentral
UUGUCUUGUCCUAAGUCAAACUUGUUCAACUUUGACCAAGUUUAUAGAAAAAUAUAACAAUAACUAUACUACCAAAACAUAUUCCAUGGUGGAUUCAACCAAACAAAUUUGGUAUUAUAAAUGUUAUAUUUUUCUAUAAACUUGGUCAAAGUGAACAAGUUUGACUUCGGACAAACCAAA